Vespula vulgaris is the source of this 2092-nucleotide long non-coding RNA. RefSeq lists it as uncharacterized. Lineage: Eukaryota; Metazoa; Arthropoda; Insecta; Hymenoptera; Vespidae. The record is from RefSeq and is a predicted model, not a curated record. The transcript has 3 exons.
AUACGAAAGAAAUUCAUUUCCUGGUAGCGUAUGACCAUCUUGGUUCUUUGGAUAUAUUUAUUAAUCUACGUCAAGUGUAAUAAUCCUGUGCAGAGGGCGCCAUAGUGUUCGAUCGAUCAGCAAAUCAAGGGACUGGGCGGGGUAUAAUACCGCCGUUCGGCGGACGGCGAUGAAUCUGUUCAUUCAUGUUCAUCUCAUUCCUUCGGUGCUUGUCGAACUAGUAAUACGCCAGCGAGUGUGGUACAACAAAUAUUCGUUCGUGCAUACUUCAUACGUCCCAGGGAUCAGUUAUAUAAGUAAUUCAGGCGGUUGAAGCAAUUUCUUCAUUCUUACUAGUCAUUUGUUUAAGCUAUCAAUAUAAGAGAUAUAUUAAACCAACCGAAGACGAAAGCAGUUCCAAUAGUCUCAAUGUAUUGCAAAGGAGCCGAAUUCACUUAUAUUUGAAUUGCAAUUCCAAAGUAGAUACGAAAAGUUCAACUACGCUCCACCAUUGCACAUCCAAAGUGAAACACAUUUGCAUUGACACUUUCUGUUCUUCCGUACAUCCGACGAUACGCUCUAUAUGGAUAAUUCAAAUCAAGCCAGACCAUCAACGAGAUUAAUUUACGAAAACAUUUUCCUUUUUACAUUUAUGUUUAAAUGUAAAAUCAAUCAAUGCUGUAUUUAUUGAAUGAUUAUAUGCAGCCGAAGAAAGUAUUUUUAUUUAUAAGUGAACUUAUCACCAAUAUUCCAAAUGGUAGGAAACUCAAAGUGGAGUACUUAUCCGGUAACUUCUAUAAUAUAGCAAUGAAAUUUUCUAAUAAAUCUUAUACAAAUGGCUACUGCUGAAUUUAAAGUAUAUUGAUACAAUAAUAGAAUGACUAGUGAUAAUGGUGUUUCAAUGGUUUUUAUUACUUAUAAAGCUCGUCUUUCGGACGUAUGAGAGCUAGGGAUUAUUUCGCGUAUAACAUAUACUUGCGUAUUACUGGGUCGAAAAUCACGGAAGGAAUGACUUCCCCUGGUUAAAUUAAUCCCACGUCAUCUCGUUAGAAGACCAAGAUUCCUAGAUUUUAAUUUUCUAGUUUGGGGAUGAAAAAUUUCCCCUCUCCUGUAACUAUGUUGUUAUAUUUUUAUUUCCUUUAUGCACUUGAAAAAUUAUGUCAUAAAACUUGGAAUCUUCUUACGAAAUUGACAGUUAUUUUUCUCUUUUUUAAUUGCAAUAUGCACAUAAAACUGUAAUUAUUUAUAAUAUAAUUAAUUAUUAUUAACGAUUUCUGUAUUAAUAAUUUCAAAUUAUUUUAAUAAUAAUAUCAAAAAUAAUAAUUAUUGUAAUUAUCAACAUUAAUUUUUAGAAAGUAAUCGUAAUAUCAUAUACGAAAUAUGUAAUGUAUCAUCUUUCGUAAGUUCAAGUUGUACUCAAAAAUAGUGUUCUAAUAUUAUUUGGUAUUACUGAUAUUACAAUUUUCGAACUAUGUACUUCGUAUUGUAAAAUAUUGUGUUGUAAAACAAUUUUUUCGUAGGAAGUUACAUCUACUUCCAUUUUCCUUAAAAACAUUUCCUUCAAAUAUCGCCUUCUUAUCUUGUAAACAUAUAUAUGUUGCUUAAGUUAUCCUAGAAUUCAUUUCCAUUAUUGCACGAUAAUAGAAAAAAUGUAUUCGGAGAAAAUCUCUUCUCAUAUUUCUUUAUUUCCCCAUCUCACUAUCGUCUGUUUCACGUAUUUCCUCUUCGAGAGAACCACACAGUUAGUGAGUGAUUUGGGCGGAUCGAGUGUUUGCACUGCUACUGUUUGGGAAAUCCGUGUUUCACUGAUGUUUCCUAUUGAAAUUGUGCUGUUAGCUCGGGAAAACAUAAAUUUUGCGUUAAAUAUUCGGGGUACGUUCAUCUCACCGUGUGUAUAUAUAUAAUAUUUAUGAAAAACGCUAAUAAAAUAUUACGAAUAUUUUUUAACUACAUGUCGUGAAUAUGAUGACAAACAAUUUGAAAUAUGGGAUUCAACAUUUCUCCUUUUUUAAUUGUAGCGAACUGUUACUUAAUUUAAAUCGAUGGAAUAACGAUGAUGCGAACGUGGACUUUUUAUUUCACGUAUAAUUUAAAAGUAUACUCCUGCUAUCGU